Molecule: long non-coding RNA, 492 nt
Organism: Alligator mississippiensis (American alligator)
Lineage: Eukaryota; Metazoa; Chordata; Crocodylia; Alligatoridae
Exons: 3
Source: RefSeq, a predicted model, not a curated record
UCUCUGGAGUUUCUUAACCCUCCCCUUGCUCCUUCUUUGCUAGGCAGGAUCUGGAAAAAAGAAAUCAAGGCCAAGCUCAACAAAACUACUGCUGCGUAAUAGCAGUCCUUUUUCACACACAGAUGGUCAACCAGAAGAAUGAGAGCUUUAUAAGACAGACAUCAUGCUGGCCCUAGGAAUCCUGUUCUCCUGGACCUCAGCAGGAGUUUUUCAUCACCAAAGAGGAUAAUAAGUCUGUCAGGCACCUCAUACACAUCAAACAGGAGCUGCCAAUGAGCAACUUACUGCAGGAUAUGAAGAGGACGCACUGGCAGAGCUGUUUCACUGAAUGUUUCAGACAACUUGGCUCCCAUGUUCCUAGCUCAGUCUGGUGCUGUCAAGCCCUCAAGUGCAUUCUCCAAGGGCUCCCAGGCCUCAUUCAGUGCAUGGAAUAGAUGAUGAUCACCCAGAGAGCAACUAUUCAACACUCUUCAGGUCCUGCUUGGAAGACAG